This 491-nucleotide ribosomal RNA is filed under the name Veillonella parvula. RNAcentral describes it as "bacterial SSU rRNA". It matches the Rfam family "Bacterial small subunit ribosomal RNA", at positions 28 to 486 of the family's 1533-position model. The record is from RNAcentral. Lineage: Bacteria; Bacillati; Bacillota; Negativicutes; Veillonellales; Veillonellaceae.
GACGAACGCUGGCGGCGUGCUUAACACAUGCCAAGUCGAACGAAGUGCGAUGGAAGCUUGCUUCUAUCAAUCUUAGUGGCGAACGGGUGAGUAACGCGUAAUCAACCUGCCCUUCAGAGGGGGACAACAGUUGGAAACGACUGCUUAAUACCGCAUACGAUCUGACCUCGGCAUCGAGGAUAGAUGAAAGGUGGCCUCUACAUGUAAGCUAUCACUGAAGGAGGGGAUUGCGUCUGAUUAGCUAGUUGGAGGGGUAACGGCCCACCAAGGCGAUGAUCAGUAGCCGGUCUGAGAGGAUGAACGGCCACAUUGGGACUGAGACACGGCCCAGACUCCUACGGGAGGCAGCAGUGGGGAAUCUUCCGCAAUGGACGAAAGUCUGACGGAGCAACGCCGCGUGAGUGAUGACGGCCUUCGGGUUGUAAAGCUCUGUUAAUCGGGACGAAAGGCCUUCUUGCGAAUAGUGAGAAGGAUUGACGGUACCGGAAUAG